GUGUCAGCCGCCGCGGUAAUACGGAGGAUGCAAGCGUUAUCCGGAUUUAUUGGGUUUAAAGGGUGCGCAGGCGGAAAAAUAAGUCAGUGGUGAAAACCUGCAGCUUAACUGUAGAAUUGCCAUUGAUACUGUUAUUCUUGAGUAUGGUCAAGGUAGGCGGAAUGUGUAAUGUAGCGGUGAAAUGCUUAGAUAUUACACAGAACACCGAUUGCGAAGGCAGCUUACUGGGCCAUUACUGACGCUCAUGCACGAAAGCGUGGGGAUCGAACAGGAUUAGAAACCCCCGUAGUCC
Molecule: ribosomal RNA, 292 nt
Filed under: uncultured bacterium
Lineage: Bacteria
Description: partial 16S ribosomal RNA
Rfam family: Bacterial small subunit ribosomal RNA
Source: RNAcentral